Molecule: small nucleolar RNA, 110 nt
Organism: Sorex araneus (European shrew)
Lineage: Eukaryota; Metazoa; Chordata; Mammalia; Eulipotyphla; Soricidae
Product: small nucleolar RNA SNORA32
Exons: 1
Source: RefSeq, a predicted model, not a curated record
UGGUCAUUGCCAAGGCUUUUACAAUGCAGUUUCUGAAUGGCUGUGGACAUGACCUAAAAGAAAAUACCCCGAAUUUUGGCUAUUAUAAACCCAAGUGCCCAAGAACAGAU